RNAcentral lists this ribosomal RNA (1155 nucleotides) under Salmonella enterica. Its description in RNAcentral is "partial 23S ribosomal RNA". It matches the Rfam family "Bacterial large subunit ribosomal RNA", at positions 598 to 1756 of the family's 2925-position model. Lineage: Bacteria; Pseudomonadati; Pseudomonadota; Gammaproteobacteria; Enterobacterales; Enterobacteriaceae. The record is from RNAcentral.
UGCGUACCUUUUGUAUAAUGGGUCAGCGACUUAUAUUCUGUAGCAAGGUUAACCGUAUAGGGGAGCCGCAGGGAAACCGAGUCUUAACCGGGCGUUAAGUUGCAGGGUAUAGACCCGAAACCCGGUGAUCUAGCCAUGGGCAGGUUGAAGGUUGGGUAACACUAACUGGAGGACCGAACCGACUAAUGUUGAAAAAUUAGCGGAUGACCUGUGGCUGGGGGUGAAAGGCCAAUCAAACCGGGAGAUAGCUGGUUCUCCCCGAAAGCUAUUUAGGUAGCGCCUCGUGAAUUCAUCUCCGGGGGUAGAGCACUGUUUCGGCUAGGGGGCCAUCCCGGCUUACCAACCCGAUGCAAACUGCGAAUACCGGAGAAUGUUAUCACGGGAGACACACGGCGGGUGCUAACGUCCGUCGUGAAGAGGGAAACAACCCAGACCGCCAGCUAAGGUCCCAAAGUCAUGGUUAAGUGGGAAACGAUGUGGGAAGGCCCAGACAGCCAGGAUGUUGGCUUAGAAGCAGCCAUCAUUUAAAGAAAGCGUAAUAGCUCACUGGUCGAGUCGGCCUGCGCGGAAGAUGUAACGGGGCUAAACCAUGCACCGAAGCUGCGGCAGCGACACUAUGUGUUGUUGGGUAGGGGAGCGUUCUGUAAGCCUGUGAAGGUGGCCUGUGAGGGUUGCUGGAGGUAUCAGAAGUGCGAAUGCUGACAUAAGUAACGAUAAAGCGGGUGAAAAGCCCGCUCGCCGGAAGACCAAGGGUUCCUGUCCAACGUUAAUCGGGGCAGGGUGAGUCGACCCCUAAGGCGAGGCCGAAAGGCGUAGUCGAUGGGAAACGGGUUAAUAUUCCCGUACUUGGUGUUACUGCGAAGGGGGGACGGAGAAGGCUAUGUUGGCCGGGCGACGGUUGUCCCGGUUUAAGCGUGUAGGCUGGUUUUCCAGGCAAAUCCGGAAAAUCAAGGCUGAGGCGUGAUGACGAGGCACUACGGUGCUGAAGCAACAAAUGCCCUGCUUCCAGGAAAAGCCUCUAAGCAUCAGGUAACACGAAAUCGUACCCCAAACCGACACAGGUGGUCAGGUAGAGAAUACCAAGGCGCUUGAGAGAACUCGGGUGAAGGAACUAGGCAAAAUGGUGCCGUAACUUCGGGAGAAGGCACGCUGACA